CUGGACAAAGCAGUUUCAGAAGCAGAAUGGUUUUCUGGAAUCCAAAACUGAGAAGGAUGCCUAGCAAAAGAAUUCCAGAAUGGAUGCAUUACAGAAGCUAUGAUCAAACAGGCUUUCCUGAAGAAUCAAACUGUGAAAACUACAACCAUAAAAGGCCCUCCAUUUAUUGCAUUCGCCAAAAAAAAAAAAAAAGUGAUAUUCGUAUGGGAGGCUGAGCUGGAGGCUAAUAAUGAAGGAGUCAGUAAAGGAGGCCAGUGCCGUGAGGGUUAUCUCGCGGCCCCAGAUGCUGGAUAA
This 294-nucleotide long non-coding RNA is filed under the name Pogona vitticeps (central bearded dragon). RNAcentral describes it as "lncRNA (ENSPVIG00000015713.1)". Lineage: Eukaryota; Metazoa; Chordata; Lepidosauria; Squamata; Agamidae. The record is from RNAcentral.